Molecule: ribosomal RNA, 435 nt
Filed under: uncultured bacterium
Lineage: Bacteria
Description: bacterial SSU rRNA
Rfam family: Bacterial small subunit ribosomal RNA
Source: RNAcentral
UUGAACGCUGGCGGGAUGCUUAAGACAUGCAAGUCGAACGGGGCCCUUCGGGGUUCAGUGGCGGACGGGUGAGUAGCACGUGGGAAUCUGCUCAAUAGUGGGGGACAGCCCGGCGAAAGCCGGAUUAAUACCGCAUACGCCCUACGGGGGAAAGGCGCAAGCCGCUAUUGGAUGAGCCCGCGUAAGAUUAGCUAGUUGGUGAGGUAAAGGCCCACCAAGGCAACGAUCUUUAGCUGGUCUGAGAGGAUGGCCAGCCACAUCGGGACUGAGACACGGCCCGGACUCCUACGGGAGGCAGCAGUCGGGAAUAUUGGACAAUGGGCGCAAGCCUGAUCCAGCAAUACCGCGUGUGUGAAGAAGGCCUGCGGGUUGUAAAGCACUUUCAGUGGGGAAGAUAAUGACGUUACCCACAGCAGACGCACCGGCUCCCUCCGU